Molecule: long non-coding RNA, 28984 nt
Filed under: Daucus carota (carrot)
Lineage: Eukaryota; Viridiplantae; Streptophyta; Magnoliopsida; Apiales; Apiaceae
Description: long non-coding RNA (DCAR_LNC000348)
Source: RNAcentral
AAAGUUUGACCUCAAAAAAGAGUUUUUUCGUGUAAUUCUUGCCCCCAUUUAAGUGAAUUUCUAGAUCCGUCCCUCGUAACCCGGUAUGACCUGACACGCCUUCCAGUAAUAGUGGUUCCUUGCCCGGAUGAAACAUGUAUGGCUCGGUUCGGCCGACACUGACGCUGAGAGACGAAAGCUACUUUACCUCGUAUCAUCUUUCUACAGGUCAAAGCACUCCUUUUGAUGGAAGCGCCACAUGUUAUACCUUCUUAUAAUAAAUACAAUAAAUAGUUAUUUGUGUUAUAAUAGAAGUCUUGGUUUUGAAAAAAAUGGAUGAGAGUUGGGCCCAUCGCAUCUGAACCGUAAACCGGCAUGAUAAGUUUGAACAACCUGUUUGGUCGGCAAUAACAAUGACAUGUAAUAUUUUUAAGUGGCUCAUUUGUAAAAUUUAUCACAAGGGUUAUGAAAGAAAGAUAACGCUAUUGAGGACAUAUUUGUGAAAUCUAUUUUAACAUUUCCAAAAGAAAUAUAACACUAUUGAACUUACUUUGAGAAACAUCUCUAUUAAAAAACUUUUUUAAAUUUAUCUUAUUGAAAUAUAGAGUUAAGUUCUAUGAAGAUCACUUUUUUUUAAAGACCGUGGAGAUCACUUAUGUUCAGCAAGUAAAACAUUGCAUAAAAAUAUUGCAAAACGUAUAUUAUUACAAAUCAUGUUGUACAAAAUUAUUAUUUCAUUUUAAAUCUUGAAUAUCAUAUAAAUUUUACAUGUAGAACAUUACAAAAUGUUUUAUUCUACAAAAUAUGUUUAGCUGGCGGAACAUUUGUUGAAUUUGCAAAACAUACAUUAUUUACUUAUUAAACAUAGACGAUCUUCAACAAUUUCAUAAAUACAUGAUAUUUGUAGAACAUACUUCACAAAAAAUGUAUUUUAUAGUGUUUUGAUUGCAGAACAUACGUGGUCUCUGAUGAAAUUGUGAUCUCCAUGGAACUUUCCUCUUAAAAUAUAACAUAAUAUUCAUUUGAAAUUUUUUCUAACAUCUUGAGAUUUUAAAUUGUCGGUGUUUAAGUAGAGAUUCUUUAUUAUUGUUUAGAUAUUUUUCUGAUAAAUAAAUAUUAAUAAUAUUUUUCAAGAAUGUAUGAACCAUAUCUUCCCCACAGAUUCCAAACAAUCAUACUCUGACACAUGUCCAUGUCCUCUCCAAGAUUCACCCGUCUCUCUGCAUGAACACAGACCAAACUCAACUACAAUGCACACCCUCACAAAUUCCUCCACCACCGCCGCCGUCUUAUUCCACUCCUCACGCAUCCCAACGCAUCUCCGACCAACUCCCCAUUCACUCAAUAUCUCCCCACACUCAAUAUCAACCAUCCACUCAAUCUCUCCCCACACUCUCUGUUGCUCCCAGCCCAAACCCACAAAAACCCAGACCCGGAUCCGACCCAUUUCAUCAUCCCCUGAGCAGAACCAACUCACUGAUCCAACCCCUCAAGAACAAUCCAAGCUAAUACCCUUGAUUUUCUCAAUCUCAGUUGGGUUAUUCUUAAGGUUCUUGAUCCCAAAACCCCAUGAACUUACAUUACAAGCAUGGCAACUACUCUCAAUCUUUGUAUCCACUAUUGCUGGCUUAGUCUUAAGCCCUUUGCCUGUUGGAGCAUGGGCUUUUUUGGGCUUAACUACCAGCAUUGUUACAAAAACCACUACUUUUUCUACUGCAUUUCAUGCUUUUACUAAUGAAGUUAUCUGGUUGAUUGUGAUCUCAUUCUUUUUUGCUCGAGGUUUCGUAAAGACUGGAUUAGGAGACAGGGUUGCUACUUAUUUUGUUAAGUGGUUGGGGAAAAGUACUCUGGGAUUGUCUUAUGGUUUGACAUUGAGCGAGGCUUUGAUUGCUCCUGCUAUGCCUAGUACUACUGCGAGAGCCGGAGGGGUGUUUUUGCCUAUUAUUAAGUCGUUGUCGUUGUCCGCGGGGAGUAAGCCUAAUGAUCCUUCUGCGAGAAAGCUGGGGUCUUACCUUGUGCAGUCUCAGUUUCAGGUGAGCUUUUCAGGUGUCUGAAUUUGUGGUUAAACAUUGAAUUCUUUUAUUUAUUUUUGCAAAAUUUAAGCCUUUGUCAUAGUGCCCAUCCGUGUGAGUGAACGAUGCCACGGAUUUUUGUUUAUAAAAUCAUAUGAUGUAGAAGUGUUGUAAAUUUGGUUGAGUCUAUUGUUCUAACAUAUAUAAUACUAGAUUUUUUGAUGGAUGUUGAAAUUUGUUGGUACUGAAAUGUAUUUGCAAGCCAUUAUAAUCAUUGGUAUAGUAGUUAUUAUCUAAUUGCUUUUGGCGGUAUAGAAAAGGAUCAUAGAGUAUAUAUAGCAAGUAAUGGCUGUUGGUUCGAAAGUAUUCAGUUCUGUAAUUGCUAGUAUAUUUGAGGCUUAUAAUCCACCGUUUCUGAUGGAUAACAGUCUUCUGGUAAUUCUAGUGCACUUUUCCUGACUGCUGCGGCUCAAAACUUAUUAUGCCUCAAACUAGCCGAGGAACUUGGCGUGAUUGUUUCAAAUCCAUGGGUUGCUUGGUUCGAGGCUGCUAGCUUGCCCGCAUUUGUAUCUCUUUUAGCAACUCCUUUGAUCUUGUACAAACUUUAUCCUCCUGAAAUAAAAGAUACGCCAGAGGCCCCUGCUAUGGCAACUACGAAGCUGGAGCUUAUGGGUCCAGUCUCAAAGAACGAAUGGGUUAUGAUUGGUACAAUGGCUCUUGCAGUCUCCUUGUGGAUAUUUGGGUAUGUAAUAUUUCUCACUUCACAUUAAUUUUCAUUUGAUGCUUUAUGUUGUAUUUGGUUGGGGUGAAUGAAUAUGGAAGGAAUGGAAUGAUAUUUGAACUAUGUUUUGUACAUUUGUUUAUAAAUUUCAUUCCUUCCUCCAUUCCAUUCCUUCCACCCAAUAUUAGAUAUCACACCCCCAAUUUGGGAAGGAAUGCUGCAUUCCCGACUAUUCUCAAUUUCUUUUUAAAUCACAUCAUAACAAUUUUGCACUCACUCAAUUUUUUUCCAAACUUUCCCUCCUACCUCUAUUAUUUUCAUUUAUUUUUAGUCAUUUCAUUCCAUUCCAUUUCAUUCUCCCCAACCAAACACAACAAUAGAGUUCUAUAAACCAAAACAAAAAUACCCAUAUAAUCAAAAAUUAAGUUUGAUAAGAGUCCCAAAUGUUUAUAUAAAUUCUAUCGGCUAGACCGGAGGACCUGACAAUUAUCUUGUAUUAGCGGACUAACUAAUUUACAUCUGAUGCUUUAGUAGAAAAGAUCUUCUAAGUAAGAUAUCUUGAGAAAAAGUUAAAACAUGUGACGUUUUAAUUCUCAAUCCCACUGUAAUGGAGAGAUUGAGCACAAAUUCUUGGAUAGCUGUGUGACCAGUAAAUAUUAAUCCAAUGAGGGUAGAUCCAGGCAUAUAUUAGUGGCGGGAUGGAGGUCAUAAACCAAAAUUAAAUGAAUUUUUAUUUUAUGCAGUUAAACAUUCUUACUAGGGACAAGAAACAAAUAUACAAUAGCGAGGUUAUUUAUUUUUUAGUAAAUGAAUAGUAUGUUUGUUUCUCGUAUAAUGUUUUUAUUAGUUUAGAUAAAGGUUUUGAUUUAAAAUUUAUAUGUUUUAAGUGGUAGAUGAAAUCAUGUUUAAAAUCUAGGUAGAGUCAAAAAGUUAACUAAAACUUGAUGUCUAUAACAAUAAAGUUCGAGUAUGUAAUAAAUGAAAGUGUUUAGUAAUUUUGAAGAAGAUGUUAGGAAGUCACAUUUUGAAAACAAGUACUUAUUGAAUGGAUAAAGUAAAAAUCAAUUUUAACUAGAUAGAACGAGAAAUGCACAUGAGUGGGAGCAGGGGCGGAUCUAAAAUGAUUAUUUGAGGGGGCACUAGGCAAAUUUUCGGAAUUCGCCCUUAUAAUUUCAAAUAUUACAGGGGCACUUCUAUAAUUUUAUAAGAUUUAUAACAAUGAAUGAANGGGCCCCCCCCCCCCCCCCCCCCACAAAUGUCCCUUACCAGAUCCGCCCCCUUACUAGAUCCGCACCGCACCUGAGUGGAAGAGAAUCCACGUAGGCCAAAAAUCCACAACGUUGUUGCAUGCAAAGUUUGUAUGGAUAUUUAGAGGCAUUGUUAACUGACCAAAAGAUUUUGGUCUUAGUUCCAAUGAAAUCUUAUUAGAUUUUUAUUGAGUAAUUAAGUAUUCAAUUGGUUUUAUUGCUUAAUGCAUGUAGCAAAAUUAUUACUUUAGCUCAUCAAUCCAAGUCAAGACCCAAAAAAUUUACAGUAUCAUAUUAUGAGACAUUACAUUGUGAAAGUGUGCUAUAAAUUUUUGGGGAUUCGUUGUUUUGUGAACUAAUAUAAAACAUUGCUUCAAAUGAUUAAACUAUUUUUUCAAAGCAGAGUUUAUUGUCUGAGCACAAAAGUAAUUCAAGACUUGCAUGACUACUGUUUUAUUUUAUUUGUAAUACCAGUUCAUAAACUAAUAUUUAUUAUUUAGUGAAGCUAUAGGUAUAUCAAGUGUUGUUGCUGCUAUGAUUGCCUUGUCUAUACUUUUGUUCUUGCGGGUGCUUGAUUGGGAUGACUGUUUAAGCGAAAAAUCAGCCUGGGAUACUUUGGCUUGGUUUGCAGUACUUGUAGGAAUGGCAGGUCAAUUGACAGAUCUUGGAAUUGUGGCCUGGAUGUCUGGUAGUGUAUCACAAUCACUUCAAGCUCUUUCUUUGAGCUGGCCUGUGGCAUUUGUGAUUCUUCAGACAGCUUACUUCGUGAUUCACUAUUUAUUUGCGAGUCAAACUGGUCAUGUGGGAGCUUUAUACUCUGCUUUCCUCGCUAUGCACUUGGCAUCUGGGGCACCUGGGAUGUUGUCAGCUCUUGCUUUAGCUUUUAACACUAGUCUAUUCGGCGCUAUAACACAUUAUAGCAGUGGUCAGGCUGCUGUUUACUUUGGAGGUAUGUUAACGGUUAACCUCCUCAUAUCAUUCUCUUUGGACACUUUGAUUCUUCUCAGUACUUUUAAAGUACAUACAUAAAUGAUAAAUAUUAAUCUCUCAAGUCCUAAAGGCUAGAGGAUAGCAUGUAUAAAAACAUUUUCUUCAUAAUAAAUGAGCCCAUUCUAUCUUGCAGCCACCAAAGUAUCAGUCGAUUCUGUCAUUUGCAUGAUUUGUUUGUGAUUGAUACUUUAAAAAUAUUCUGUGUUAUGUUCUUUUAUUUAGUCUAAUUAUUAUGUCUAUAUUUUGUUGUCAACAGCUGGCUAUAUAGAGCUCCCUGAUAUAUUCAAGAUAGGUCUGCUAAUGGCCCUUGUUAAUGUCUUGAUUUGGGGUGGUGUUGGGACCUUUUGGUGGAAAUUUUUGGGUUUAUAUUAAUUUCAAGUUGCACAGCAGUAAAUAUUCUUUUGUAGACCUGUGUGGAAUCCUAAAGCUCGGAAAACUGUCACAGUUUUAGCUUUUUUAUAUUGAUCCGAGCUCUCUAAGUCAUUAGUCUGGUGUAGUAGGAAGUUCCACUAAUUUGUAAAUUUUGUAUAACUAUAUUUUAUGAAGAUAUAGUGAAGUAUUUGCUGCCUCUGGUAUAAAGAUCUGAUACACUCAUUGUUGUGAGGCCGAGGCCAUUGUUUUUCCUUUUCUGCAAUAUCAAUCUUUGAAAUGCUUGUGUCCUAUAGGGCAAAAAUUACAUUAUAUGGAAGGCAUUUUUACAAUACAACACUGGUUUUCAUCAAUGCCAAUUGAUCACCAGUUUUUAUGUAGUACAAAAGAUCAUGAUAAUUUCGCGAUAGCAUUUCUAGCAGGUGCAUAAGAAAAAAUUUCAACUCAUCCCGAUUCUUGACUGACAUAUUUCUGUGUAAUCUGUCUGUAUGUUGAUCAAAUGCUGAUAAUCCUCAUGCACUUCAGUCUUGAUAUUUAACGCAUAGUGGCACUCUGAUCUCUGUUCAUCUGUAUUUGAUAUAUUUACAAUUAGUUUACUAGUGCUCAUAGUCAUACAUAUGUAUGUGUCUGAUUGGUUUUAGGCUAUCACUAUCUUGGAAUUUGUUUGUCGAUAUCCAUUCCAUAAUCAUCAAAAUCAAUGUGACUGCUAUACUUUCUACGGUCUCGAGCAGGCCGUUUCAGAUUAUCAAAUAUUUCAUCCAGGGACUCAGUUUUGGAGGCCUCUGGGGACUCUUUGAGGUUAUUUUCAUCCGAUUCACGUAGAUAUAGGAAUUUUUUGGCUUCAAUAUUGGUCUUAAUACUUUGGAAACCUGUCUUCAUGGUUUCCCAGGUUGCUGUAACCCUAGACUGCGAUGUGCUUGUGGUGUUACUAGUGUCACCUCCAUCAUUUGAACUUUCUACAGAAGGUCUGUUCACUGAUGAACUUGGGUCCAUCUCAUCUUCCUUCUGAUGUGAUCUUACAGCUUUAUACUUCUUUCCAAUGAUUUCGCCAUCCCCACUCGAACUGGCAUUUGAUUUCUUAUCAACCGCAACCUUGUCAAGACAUGGAUAACAUGUCAGUGAGAUAAAUUACCCAGUUCACCUUCUCUUCUGAUCAAUAUGGGCAAAGAGCAAAAAAAAAAAAAGAAGCAAAUUGAACAAUGCAAUAAAACACUGCUUCUGCAAUAGGCAUAAACAUCCUGAGAAAACUGCAAGAGUCCACACACACACACACAAAUAGUUAUGAUGUUGAUUACUAACAGAUUUAAUUCAUCCCCAGAUGAGGCAUAUAAAAUGUUCCAGAAAGAUAAUUGGAAUUUCAAAUAUGGUGGUUGCAGUGUACAACUAAGUGAAAGUACUUGGUUUGUUAAACAUAUAUAACAAUUUUUCGCAGAUAAGUUGGUAUAUACCGUGCUGUUACUGGCAGAUUCAAUAUCUGAAUUUGCGUCGUAAAUGAUCCUUGCCAAUGGAAUGACAAGCUCGCCAACUUUAUGUCCUUGCUGAAGCCAAGUCCGUUCUGAGAAGACAGGGAAAUGUUUCAAUUUGACAAUAUGUCGACUUGAGAGAAAUAAGCAUAUCCAAAUUUAAGUAGCUUGGAUAUGCAGUUGUACCACAGUACUUCUGCAGAGAAAGCUCAGAAAUUAAAACUAACCUUUCCUCAAUAUGAUUACUCCAGAGGGAUCAUACCCGUCUAAAAUUUCAGCAGCUUCACUUUGGUAACUAAAUAUUUUCCAAUUUCCAAGAUAACUCACAAUGCGGUCAAAAAAGUUGCUGGUGAUCAAUAUGGUGUACGUAACCAUGAUAAGCGGAUAUAUUUUAUUGAAUCGUCUACCAAAGAAGGGCACAGCAUCAUCGAUGUUCCCCAUUCUCUGUGCUUGUUAUAAGAUUUUAAUCAGUAUUCACAUACCAAAUGUUAUAAUCAGUACCUAGAUGAAAGAAUGUCAAUGACCUUGUAAAUGACAUGAUUCUGAGAACCUUAUAUAUUAUGUAAUAAUAUCAACAUUAAUUUGCCUUUGUUAAGUACCAGCAGUUGAAGCAAAAUUAAAAGAGACAUGCUGAUGUUUCCAAAAGAAAUAAAAAUAAGAACAGUUAUAUAUGCGGAAAUUAGAAACUACAAGAACAUAUAACCUUUUCAAAAACUGUCUUGCGGGUUUUGACACUUUUAGGAAGCCGGAUAAGAUUGAGAAAAUUGUAUGAAAUAGGAGCUGCAUAUCUUGCAACCUGCCUGGUAUUCAUAUGGAGUGAGAUGGUAAAAAAAGCACAGAAUAAGUAGCAAUCUGAGUACUGUAUUGGACAAAAUGCAACAAGGAAUAUACCUACCCACAUAUCCUAAGCAAGCUAACUGAGCUUGUUUGUCUCGGUGUAAAUGAGAAAAACGUUAAUGUUCCAAAUUUGAACAGAGAGUAGUAUGUGCAGACACACAUAUACACGAGAGGAGUAAAAGCAAACCCCUGCAAAAGUAAAAGCAAAAUGAGGAGACAAUUUUUAAGAUUCCAGUCAUAAAUUCAUAAUAUGCCAACUCCCCAAGUAAGAAGCUUCGAAGGACUAAUUUUACGUCUAACCAAUCAUGAUAUCAGCAAAAUGUUCAAAUGUGAAUAUUUGAAUCUACACAAGUACUUAAACUAAGACAAUUUUCAAUUCGAUGAUUUUAGCCAGUGCUACUGCGGUGACAUUUUAGUAGUUACUACCGAUAUGAAACAUAGUAUAAAAUGGAAGAAAAUUACGUUAAAUAUAUAGCCCCAGACACCAGAAAAUGAUCAUGUAGAAAAAGCGAGGCUUAAAAUAAAAGACAAAUCCUCAUAUUUCUCUGUUUUAUAUUCUUUAAAAGGACCAAAAUUUAUAGGGUCGAUCAUGAUAAACUGCUACGGCAGGUUGUUUAGGUACUAAGCUCGUAGUUAGGCAUUUGGUUAGUCGACUUAAGGAGAACUAAAGCCUUAAUAGAACUUAUAAAAACUGUAGCCUUAAUCAACAUAUUGUGGGAAGAAUUACCUGCACAAGCACCUCAUGUUUCCCAACCAAUUUUAUAAGAUUCGAAAACAGAGACAAGUCUACUCCGCUAGGCAGUAUAGUGGCCUCGGCUAAAAGAAUAGAAGCUGACAAGAAGCCAAGAAUGAUAGAGAAAAGUCUAUCAAGUUGUUUUUGCAGGAUGCACCGCCAGACCAACUCUGCACCAAAUUACCACAAUGAUUUUUUACACAUUGGUCAUAUAUGCAAUUUCCUGGUUAAAUUGCAAACUUAAUAUUUCAUUUAUUUUUUUAGAAUUAAUCUGUCACAAAUGUAGUAGGAAAAAAAUGCGUAGUUUAAGAUACCCAUAAUAUCUAAGAAAGACCCAAAGGUUCCAGAUCUCUGAACCCUAAAGCUUGAAACGUAUUUCCUGAAAAUUUAUGAUGAUAAUCGACUUAGAAACCAAAUAAUACAAUAAAAUAAAGAUAAUUAGACACAUUACUGGCUAACAUUGCAAGCACAAGUCGAAGAUUUUGAGAUGCUUACAAAAUUCAGAAUAUUUUCCAAAUAAUUCGAACAUGUGUAAUGUUUAAUUGGGCCAAAAGUGUAGGGAUGUAAAAAGAAAAUAUUCACAUUUGCGGAAGAUUUAUUUGUUGGAAAAUUAAAAGUCCCUCCAUGAAUGAUUCAUAAUUACAGUAAUUAGGUAAUACCCAUAAAACGAAAAAGAAAUGACUGGGUUAAGAGCAAACCAUCCAGUUGAAUCACGGUGUUCAUAAUUCUUUAAAGUGUCUUCCAGCUCAAGAGCUUCUGUUACAGAACUUAUGUAUUCGCUGUGAACAAAUGAUUCCAAGAAUAAGUAAAUUGUAACGUGAUAAGAACACACAUACAAGACUUAAGUAAAUUGUUAUGCGAGUUAGUAGAGAAGUAACUAAAAGGAUAAGAGUGUAUGCAACCACAAAACUAGUUGAUCACUUCAGAUAGCACAUACCUUCUGUAUCGAUAGUAUCUUUCUCGUGCUCUCCUUAAAUGACGUCUCAACUGUGCCAUACUUUUGUCGUUUGUAUCAUAAUCCAUGUCAUUUUCACCUAAAUUUCCACCUUGGGGUUUGAAAGUGGGAUCUUCAUUAAGCUGAAUAUAUAGCACUGGAAUGAGUGCAUAUGCAUCUGGCUCGUAGAAGAAAUUUUAUGCACAGAAAAGGGAUCACAAGACUACAUGCAUAAUUACCAUCUGUUGCAGUAACUUGUCAAUGAUAUUCAUGUAAGGUCUUAAAGGAUCACGCCUGGACAUCUGCUUUGAUGUUGCUUGAGUAACCUAUUUCAGCAAAGAAUUUGCCAAAUAAUGUUAUGUUAAACAAUGCAUAUACGAACAGAUUUCAAAUGCGUAAGGACUUUAAGGGACGAACAAAUCUCUAUUAGCUCCGUAGUAUACUAGCAGGGUGUAUAUAUGACUGCAUUUGCCCUGCAAACAGAUCUUGACAGAGUAUGCCUGACAAAUGCUCCUAUUUGUAAAAAUCGGUAUUUUUCAAUUUAUAAGGGUCUUACCACUAUAGCGUUUGAAAAAUCCUGAUGAGCACCAUCAAGUUUCACAGCCAUCCUAGCUACUUUAUGAGAUAGAGCCUUUUGGCGAUUGAUCCAUUCAGCAUUUCGCCAUAGGCCCUUUGGAAUUUCACUCAAACCAAAGCCGAGCAGAAACGCACCGGUCACGAGUCCAAAAGUAUUCGAGCAAGCCAUGGCAAAACCAAGAAUACCACCACUCCUACAUGUUCACAACUUAUAUAAGAAUGAAUGAAAACGAUAAACACACCUACGUGCAGUUAAUUCUGAAUUGUCUAAAUUUAGAAUAGAACAAUAAACGUUCUUGCACAAUUUGGUUAGGGCCGAGGCUAUAUGUUCAGCUAUGAUUAAGGUAGUUCUAUGUGAACUCAUUAGGGCAUUCCAAGGUGGGAUGCUUUCCUUUGGUGGCAUCAGAUACAACUACGUAAACAUUGUGAAUUUCCCAGAAUAGUGACAUGCUGACUCCAAAAUUUUGAUUCUGACUCAGUUUUGUGCUCACUUAGUUCACAUUUUAUAUAUAGUACUAGGAAUGGUAUUAUGUAAGAUAACUGCUAGAAGGUAAACAAACCAGUUUGCGCGCAGAAUAAAGAGCAGUAUAAGACCACAAAGCGCAAUAGAGGCGACACACAUGUGGAAGAAUAAAUUAGCGUGCAGACUGGUCUUCAAUCUUUCUGUUAGUGUGAAGUCCCCAGCAUCUUCAUAACCCUGAAUUAUAGGCACCACAGCCCUGCUUAGACAAAUAGUUACAUAUAAAUCUAUUUGAACAAGUGCAUAUUUAUGCUGCAAACACAGACAAGUCAUCAAAGUGCCAAACAAAUAAAUUCACUUAAAUUAAAAAUUUUAAUCAACAUAACUCAAAAUUUAACACCCCUGAGUCUAGACUGUCCUCUAAGGCUAUAUAUUCGAGCUGUUUGAUACUGCAAGUCCUUCUUGAGACCGCGGUUAUUUUGGCAAUGCAAGUUCAGAAGAAGCAACUAUAAUCACCCUUGUGAACGUAAUUUAAUAAACAUAGGCAUGAUCUAAACAGAGGAGGAUGAAAAUCAUAUUUAUGAGCACAAUUGUAAUUUCAAGAUCAGGCAGCAACUACUAAUGAGCCCAAGCAGAAGUUAAAUCAUAAGAAUUGAUCGUAGAGGACGUGGGAUUAGUACCAAGUAAGCAUAAAUGUGCUCCAAUAUGAAAGACUCCAGAAGAACGAUAAUUCUCGCAAAUCUUCUCCAAUGAUAGCCUGCAUGAAGGCGAAAGCACAAACAAUAUAUGUGCAUCAGUAGAACAGAACAAAAAUGACAAAAAUUUGAUAGGAAAUAAUACUAUCAGUUUAUCAUUAACCUCCAAAUCAAGUUAAUUUGCUAGAAAAACAUAUAUGCCUUAUAAACGAUAAUACAACACGCCCCUAUAUCAAUGACCUCUUGGUCAUAUGGUAUCUUUCUCGUACCCCAAGUAUCAAUGACCUCUUGAUCAGAUGAUAUCUCCCUCUUUCUGCUUACCAGAGGUCGGAGGUUCGAAUCUCGUCAAAGACAAGGUGAGUGUGUUUAAUUAUAAAAAAACACGCCCGUCUCAUAAUAGAACAUGCACAACAAUGCAUUAUGCAACACACACGAGCUUACAAGCAAAAAACAGAAAAGAAAGGAACAUACACACCAAAUGUCAACCGGGACAAGGAUGAUGAUAGAGAUAGAAGAAAACCAAGUGUAACCCACGAGAAAAAGAACGUAACGUGGCACUUCUGGCCCAGCAAAAUAUUUCAACGUUAACAUCACCAUUGCCAUUGUUAAUGGCAGCGAGAAAAUGUAAAAAACCCACAUGCUUGUCCUGUUUUUUUUUGCUUUUCUACCUGUAAUUAUCGGAGAAGAAAUGAUUUAUAUGCCUUUUGUUUUAAUGAUUUAAAGCUCUUUGUUGUAAUGCAGAGACCCUGGUUAAUGGGAGCUCCCAUUUGUUGCCGUUUUCAUUUGGGUUUCUUGUUUCGCCUCCAAAUUAACGGCCGUUUAUCAUUUUUAGUUUCGAUUAAAAUACACUUUUGGUAUUGAGGUUUACUAUAUUAGUCGGUCAACUUUAUUUUAUAACACAAGCAAAGCCAUUCCUGUCAAGAUUUUGUCCAUCAGGGGCCUUAUCAGUAUUAGUAGUAUAACAUGCAUGAUUAACCUUAUCUGAGUGUACACGGUUCGGGUUGGUCGGUUUACCGGAAUCUAACAACCCAAUCCAAUUAAAUUGGGUUUUCAAAAUUUCAAACCAACCCGAACCGUGUAAACCUUAAAACCAAACCAAUUUGUAAUGUUUCGGUUUGGAUCGGUUAGUCGGUUUAUUAAAAGGUAUAAGUUUUGAAAUGAUUACUGUUUACUCAUCAUGACACCACAAGUAUAUGAAGUUUUAAAGUUCAUGUAACAUAUGAAGUUUUGAAAUUUUGAUUGUUUUUAUUGUUGCAGCUUGUAUGAUCAGGUUUACAAGCCUAAUAAACAGUUCAGGCAAAAAUAAUGCUAUCACCAGUGAGCUCAUUAGCUUGCAAAACACUCGUGUUAACAGCUCCUGUAACCCUAAACAUUCGAGAAAUCUGAUUCACAUUAUCACCCCAAUCACUAAGAUAAGCAUGAAGAUACUUAUCAACAGGCACAUUCAGUUCCAUACCAACACAAAAGCACAUUAGCUAAUUUAUGAUCGGGUUGGGUUGGUUCGGUUAAAAAAAAUCGAAAUCCAUAUACAACCCAAUUAAAUCAGGUUUAUCAUUUUUCAACCCAAAUACGUUUCGGUUUAAAAAAAUUUGGUUUGGAUCGGGUUGGUCGAUUUAACAACCUGUGUACACCUCUAACCUUAUCAAUAGAAGUUUUAUUAAUAUUUGUACUUCUAUUGAAUUAUGGCAAUGGAUCAUAAAAGUUACGAUACAAACUUUAAUAUUCAAAACAUGUAUAUAUAUAUAUAUAUAUAUAUAUAUAUAAAAUGUCAAAUACUAUCAUAAUGAAAAUAAGGAUUUUGUGGUUUAUAAAAUAUUAAGCUACCACUAGUAUAUAUUUAGGUAUCAUAACAGCCUUCUUUUUACUCUUGUUGUAAUCAGUAGUAAGAUAAUUAGAGUUAUCACAAGUAUGCAAGUUUUCUUUAGAUCAAAUGGAAUAUAUUCAUAGUGAUCUUUCUUGUUGAUGUCUUGUUUUCCAAUUUUAUUUCUUUUAGGACUUUUAGCUAGAGGCUUCCCAGUUGCCUCAGCCUCACUGAUUUUCUUUUUAAGUAAUCCUUUAAACAACAUCCUAUGUUCUUUUUACUCCUUUUUUUUCAGUAUUGACUUAUUCUUGACAUCAGUAUUUGUAUAUGUCUUAGAUGUUGAUCCCUUUUCAAAAGUUGUAAUUAGCUUUUGUAGUAAAAACAAACUUGAUAUGAGUGUUCUUAGAUCCAUUGUUCUUAAUGAUUUUUUCGUAAGAAUAAGAUUUAGCUUUGUUAGCUUUGUAUCCUAGACCUUCCUUUCAGGUUUUAUCAUAGAGAAUCUCUUGAACUUUUCUUCCAGAGUCAGUUCAUGUUCUAAUUUUAUCUUUUUUGGCUUUUAACUCAAGUUCAAGAUUGGUACAUGUCUUUCUUAUUUGAGCUUCAUUACACUUAGCUUUUUCACGUUCUUUCUUGACUUUUAACAUAAGUAUUAACUCAGAUUCAACAGUCAUUCCUUUCUUCAAGUUUGAUAUCUCAGUUAAAAGUCUCGUGUUUUCAAAGGAUUGACUUCUAAAGCUAACAUGUAAAGACUUCAGAAAAGAUUUUAAAUCAGAUAUAUUAUUUGUUAUUCAGACAAUGCAAACAAUAAAUUAGAUUGUAGAAGGGGGGUUGAAUACAAUCUACAAAAAAUUCAACUAAUUUUUGUUUAACAGAUUAUAUUCAAGUUGCAAGAGACAAUUAAAACUAAAACAGAAAUUUAAAGAACAAGGAUCUUAAAAACAAAUUAGAUUGUAGAAGGGGGGUUGAAUACAAUCUACAAAAAAUUCAACUAAUUUUUGUUUAACAGAUUAUAUUCAAGUUGCAAGAGACAAUUAAAACUAAAACAGAAAUUUAAAGAACAAGGAUCUUAAAAACUUCAGGUGGAUUGUUUGAUCCACCUGAGAGAUUUUUAUAUCAAGAGCCUUCCAAGUAACAAACUACUUGGCUGCUUACAAAAGAAUGAAGAGCGGAAGCUUACAAUUUUUUGCUCACUAUCUUUACUCUUCAGUUCUCAGUGUUUGAAUACUUUGAAAUGUAAAUUACAAAGUGAAUAUAUAUUACUACAAACAAAACUAGUCUGUAAAAGUAUUUUCUACUCAGUUUUUAGCUAUUACAAAUAUAGAAUUUCUUGGACUUGAUUGAACAUUUGGCAGCUCGAAAUUCUUGUUGCUUUGCCAUAAAUGGUAGGCUUCGAGUUUCUCAAUAUUUGCUAAACUGCUUUUGGUUUAGCUUCCAAAACUGGUGCAACAUCUGUCACAUCAACCCAUGUGCUUCUUGUCUUUUACUUGACUUGUAGUUUUCAACUGCUAGGCAUCAACUGCAAACUUUAUCAAUUGAUAGCAUCUUUGAACUAUCGAUUGAUACCAUCAUUGAACUAGCGAUUGAUAGCUUCCCAUGAUUAGCCAUUGAUGAGUUGAAGUAGCGAUUAAUAGGCUUAUUGUUUAGCCAUUGAUACUUCAUGACUAGCGAUCGAUCUUCACUUCACUUAAAUAGAUUACAUGACUUCACAUAUAUACAAUUAUGUCACCCUAUCUACUUAUCCAUUGAUAGAUCAACUGCUAAGAGUAUACAAUAUGAAUACAUCAACUGCUAAGAUGCUUCAGCUUUGUUACAGUACCUCAUCAUCCGUUGAUGGGUGAAUCUGAUCAAUGGCUACUGCCUUAGCAUGCUAUCCAUUGAUCAGCUACAUUUUAGUUUUAUUCUAAUCAAGAAUAAAACAAUUUUGUAUCAUCAAGCAUCACAAAUUUUCUAACAUUAUUAGUAUUAGAAUUAAAAGUAGGUACUUCAUAGCUAGUGUCACAUGGUCAUCAGUAGUAGCUACGAGAGCAUAGUUCACCUUCUGUAUCCUCAGAGUCAGAUGAAUACAUUCAAUCCUUUCUGGUGGAAAUGAGUUCCUUGUUUUUCCCUUUAUUAUUUAUUGGAUUUCUUGCAAUAUGUAGCAAAACGCCCCAUCUUCUUACACUUGUAGCAUUUAACUUUGGAUGAGUCAUUCUUGCCCGUCUUGUCAUCAAUAUUGUCAUCCUUUUUAUUUUAUUUCUCCAUACCAUUAUCUGCGGAUCUGUUAUGAAAAUUUCCUUGUCUUUGAGCUCUUCUAAACUUCAUCUUUUUGAACCAUUUGACUAGCAUAAUAUCCAUUUCUCGAAUGUCAGCAUUAUCACUAACUUCAUCAAUAUCCGCAUCAGGAUUUGGAUCAGUAUCCGAUGGUGAGUCAUUAGUAUUUGAUUUUACUUUCACAGCUUUCCUUCUAGAGAUCUUCAUAGCAUUUUAUUUGGUUGUUUACUAUCAACCUUCAAGGUAGUAGAUUUUGCCUUGCCGUUUUUCUUGUUCUUCCUCUGUUAAACCUCAAGAUCAUAGGUUCGUAACAUCCCAUAGAGUUCAUCAAAAGACAUAGUAUCAAGAUCAUACUUAUAUCUAAUGAUUGAAGAUUGUGUAUCCAUUCCCCAAGUAAGGCUCUCAAAAACUUAAUAUUAGAAUCUUCAGCAUCAUAUUCUUUUUUAAAUAAAGAUAAGUUGUUGAGUAAAGUAAGGAACCUGUCAUAUACAUCUGUGAGACUUUCAUCAGCUUUAGCCACAAAUUUCUCAUAUUCUUGAAUUAAGAUAGCCCUUCCGUUAUUCUUAAUUGAAUCUGUUCCUUGACAUUGAGGCUCUAGUGUAUCCCAAAUCUCCUUAGCUAUCUUACAAGCUAUCACUCCAUGUGUCUAGACUAUUGUAAAGAAUGUUCUUUACCUUUGCAUCCUUUAGCAAUUAAUUCUUUUCUUAUGGAGUCAACUUAGCCUUUUCUUUUUUUCCUAACAUCGUGUUCAGGAACUCCAUCAGUUUAUGAAACUAGUUUCUUUAGGAUGUAUGGUCGAUCAUAGAUCCUGUCAAGAUAGUUAGGGUCUAAUGCCUCAAGAUAAAUCAGUAUUUCCGCCUUCCAUUUGGAGUACCCACCCUUCUUCAUAAUAGGGAUCUUAAUGCUUUCAUACUUGUUUGUCGACAUUUUCUUAAUAUUUUUUGAUUUUCAGUAAUCAGCCCGCUCUGAUACCAAUCAUUGCCCAAGUAAUAAUCAAUUGCAGAAGGGGGGUUGAAUAAAAUUGUAUAAGAUUCUCGACUUUGAAUAAAAUAAUAAACAUAAAUAUGAAAAACAAAUAGGUUCCACUGAUUUCUUUAUAAAAACUGUUACAGAACUCUCUCAAAAAAUUUUGAUGUUCUUGAGAGCUGCUAGAUUACAAGCAUUACUUGAGUAAGCGAUUACCAUUGUUUAAACCUAUAAUUAUUUUUAUAUAUCACACAUCUACUCUAUCAAUUACAAGGUAUGCUCUGUCAAAUAUGAUAUGUUUUUUUUACAUAUCUAAACUGAUAGUUACGAUCUAAUAAAUCAUCAAUAAACAAAUCAAUCUCUACCCUGGUUUCCAGUAAUAACAGAUAUCUAAUAAGAUACUAAUAUUCUUCCAAUCUUGAUUACUCAAGUAUUGACCAGCUGCAAAUCCUAACUAACGUCAGAUCCCGACGACCAUAUAAAAUACUAAUGGUGUCAUGUUAUCAGAUCUCUUGAUCAGUCUUAUCGGAUCUUGACAAUCAUUGAAUUAACAUUUGUAACAUGGUUAAAUUUGAGAACAAUUUGUAUACACCAUGUAUAAUACCAGAAUUACUUUUACGUUCACACAGUCAAUAUAUACUGCACAGUUAAAAUAAUCAUCUAAUUGAUAUUCUAUAAAUCAGCUACAUAAAAUAUAUCAAUUAGUGAUUCAGUAUCAAUCUAUUAAAGUCCUCAGCUGUGAAUCCAUAGUGUGUAUCUUCCAUAUUUGGGACCAAUCCACUCCUGAAAACUAGCUUUGACAAACUCUGAAAAAUAUUCUCUGUUGAUAAACUCUGAUAUCUUCAGUAUCUGACAAACUCUAAUAGCAAAUCCUUAUUCUAAAUACUAAUAAGAAAAUCUGAUAUUAUCAAAUGCAUUUAACAACCAUCAUGUUCAAUAUAUUAUUAUAUCCUUGUCAUCGUUAAUAUUUUUUGGGUAGAGAUCAAUAAAAACAACAACAUAUUUUUACUUUUUUUAAAGAAAAAUUGAAUAGUAAGUGCAUUUUACUUUCAAAAAAUUGUGUAAUUCUUUUUAAAACAUUAUUGGAAAAAUAUAAUAUUAGUUGGAUUCGCAGGUCAUAUACUUCAAUGACCUGUAUUUGGGAUACAAUGAAGUAUGGUUGGAACUAUUUACAUUUUUAAACUUUUUGUAAAUUUUCUUUCCACGAUUUUUAAUUUUCCUAAUUUAAAUAUAUAUUUUUUUUAUUAAUACACACACACACAUGUAUCAAGAAAAACGUGCCCUCCUAGAUUGGAGGGUGCUGCGCAGUCGCACGCUUCAUAUAUACUCAAGCACCCGUUUAUUCCGUCCAUCUCAUAAUGCAGUAAUAAUAUGUAUGUAAUACAAGUGCACGCAUUAUAUACAUUAUACUUCUUUGUCCUAUAACUUUAUUCAUUUUAACUUUCCAUUAUAUUAAUGCCAUUAAAACUAAUAUUUAUAUGUAAUACUUUAAAAUUUUUAUUUUUCAAUUCUAUCAUACGCAAGUAUGUUUUUUUAUAAUUUACAAAAAAAAGUAUGUUUUUUUAUAAAUCUUAAAUUUUGAAAAUUUACGUAAUUAUGACAAGAAUUAUGAAGAGACGUCGUAUUAUUCUAGAUACUUAAUAGCGAGCAUUUUGUUUUUUGUUUUGGUUUAAUUUUAGUCUAAAUAGGGAAACUAAUAUCAAACAAAUUUUCAUGAUGGAUAAAUUUAUAUAAAUGUGAUAUAGUUGAGUUUUUAUUAACUUUGAAGGCACAUACUAUAUUUUAUUGAUAUGGAUGAAAUCUGAACAGUACAUAUAUAUUAAGCAUGUGAAGAACUAUUGCGAAAUUUAUUAGGGAUUGGGGAAUCUAGGUGUAUGAUAUUGAGACAUAACCCUAUUACCAGAAGUAAGAACCUUCAUCUCAUUUUCUUCAUGUAAAAUUAUCGCUCGGAGUUAUCUAAUUUUCAUCAGAAGCACGGUUUAAUGGGAGUGCAGGUGUAGACACGGCGUCUGGGGAUGUAGAAGUUGAUGUUGAUCCAGGUGCGGGGUCUGGAGAUGUGGAAGCUGAUGUUGAUCCAGAUUUCAUUGCAAUGUUGGAGAGCCCACCAAGACGGCCUAAUUUUCUAAAACCUUCGGUUCCGAGUUGUUCCUUUCUUGUCUGGCCACCCUUUUUCCCCAUCAUCUUGUAGCCAUUUAUUCCUAGUUGCUCCCUUCUUGUCUUUCCACCUUUCAUCCGACCUGAACCAGGAUGGAAAAUAGUUAAUAUUUCUUCUCACAAUUAGUAAGAGUUACAAACUAGAUCAUAAAUGCAUGAAAAUGAGUGAUAGUGAAUUUAUAUUAUGAUUUAUACACACUAGUGAUCAUUGAUUCCAUGUACUAGCUGAGAGUAAUAACUAGUCGUAAUGGUUAUUGAUUUAUAGUAAUAGACUCAUGUAGUUAGUGAUUAUUAUAAUCUAAAUUAUUAAAGUAUAUUGUGUGAUCACAAACCUUCAGCAAGUUUUUCUUGAGCUAAAAGACUUUUCCCCCCUUUGCCUCCCGGAACAACCGUUUCUCCUCUCUUGGCCCUAGCGUCAAGUUCCUUUCGUUCUUCUACAGUUGCCAUUCUUGUUGCGGCCUUUGUUGUUGCUGCCAUUGUUAUUUCAAUCUAUCAGGUAUUUUAUUUACUACUAUUGAUAUUAUGAUCUAUGAAAAUGAAGUCGAGUUUAUGCAUUGGUAUAUAUAGCAAGAGGUGUACAUAAUAAACACGGAAUUCUGUUAUUAUUGAUAAGAAAUAGAAGACACGUAGACAUUGAUGAAAUGCAAAUACAUCACAUUAAAUGAAACUGAUGUUCAUUAAUCAUGACACGCAUAUCCUUCUUUCGUCGGUAUUUGCAUGUACUCGCUCACGCUUUUUAUAUACUUGUGCUUUAUGAAGUAAAGGUCGUAUACACCAAAUUAAAAUGAUUUUUUACUUAAAUAAAGUGUUUUCAAUUUUUUGAUCGAUUAGGAAUCUUGCAACAUAUUUGACACUCAUAAACUCCAAGUUACAUAUCUCGAAUUUUGAGCAUCAAACGCCUUGGAUAAACGAUAAUCAAAUAAUCAAAAUCAAAAUCCAAUCUAGAAUUAGUGGCAGACCUACAAUUGGUUGAGAGUAUUUUUGGCCCAUGUUUAAAAUUGUAGGCCCCCUAAUAUUUUUGAAUAACCUAUGUUUGAUUACACCCCUCACCCCACUGUUUUGGCCCAUGUAGAAAUUUUAGUCCAGCCCAACUUUAGUCAGAAGUUAACAUGAAAUAUACAUGAGAUAGACGAACAAGCAUUAGCUAAGUUUAAAAUUGAAACACCUAGUGAUUUUAAUGUUGGACGAAAAUGAGAAACUAGGUAUGAAAUAGAGUAAUUGAACAUAAAAAAAAGUAAGGGCUAGAGCCCGGAACUAAAACGAAAAUCAUGAAAAAAAAUGAUAUUAUCAUUGUGUUGCACUACUAGAUACAACAAAACAUGUUUGUCAUAUGUUAUUACAUGUUAAAUGGGAAAAAUUAGUGUAUAUCGCCUUUCCUUGUCAAAACUUUCUAGAUCCUCUACUGACUAGACUUCAUAAAAAAACAUUAUAUUUAAUUCGGAGUUUAGAUGAUUUCGCCUUGUGAAACUUUUAAGAAUGGAUGAUAAGAAGAGAUCCUAGCUGUUGCAAUUACCCAUAUAUCCCGCUUUCGUGAUGUAAGCCACUAUUGGCAUCCACACGAACGCCUGAACAUCAAUUGAUUGAAUUAGUAGGGAGGUACCAGACCCACCAGGAACAAGUCUCUCUCUCCCUCCCUCCCUCAUGUCUUUGUUUUCUCUUUAAUCAGCCAUGGUUUUGCUAAACAUGUUCAACCUUAGAUGAGCUUUUAAGUUGGUUUAAUUUAAAUAGAGGUAGAAAAAUGUAUCUCAUUGACACUAAUCAUAUUAGUGUUAAUACUAAUCUGAAAUCCCUAAUCAUUAUUAAAUUUUAUUUUAUUUAAUUCACUAAUAUUUGAAUUUUACAAUUAGUUUUAAGUAAUUAUGAAUUUCAUUUUUGCUCAAAAAAGUAAUUAUGAAUUUCAUUUAAUCAAUGAAGUCCCACUUAAUUAAUAUCAUAAAUAAAUUUGAAUAACACAUUUAAUUAAAUUUCCUAGUUUAAAGUAAUUCCCUUUUAAGUUUUCAUCAUAUGUGACCCGAUAGGUUAUAUAUUAUUAUCUAUUACAUUUAUAAUAUUUUCAUAUAUUAGAGGCAUCUACUAAUAUAUGAUUGUUGAAAUAAUAAUAAUAAUAAUAAUAAUAAUAAUAAUAAUAAUAAUAAUAAUAAUAAUAAUAAUAAUAAUAAUAAUAAUAAAUCAGUGAUUUUAUUCAACAUUCUGUGACUAAUGUUCCAUGUAAUUUAAUCCUUAUAACCUUGAAAUUAUAGAUCAAAUUCGAGACAUGGUUUGUGUCACCCAUUUAAUAAUUUAAUAUUUAUUUUUCUUGAUCAAUGAGUAGACUAUCAAAAUUAAAUCAACAUUUGCAUACGGUAGUGCAUUUCAUAAUUUCACUCAAUUGGAAGCCAAAUAAUAUCUGUUACAUAUUUAAUGAUAUCAAACUUAACUAUUUUGAUUAGUUUCAGACUGUGUAUAUCAAAGUUUAGCUGAAGAUCAGAGUUUUCUAAGACAAAAAAGAUAUCAGAAUUUACUCGAGAUAGAUAUUCUUUAGAGUUUGCACCGCCUGGUUUUCAAGAGCGGGUCUGGAUUAAUGAAAGCGGGUAUAUUUUAUGGAGAUACGACAACUCACAACUUUAGGAAGAUUAGUAUAGGAAUCUCUUAUUGAUAUCUUUUGUGAAGCAUAUUAACAUCAUAUCAAUCAGAAGAUAUCUUGUAACUGUGUGUUAUAUAAACACAGCUUAGGUUUACACUAUUGGUGUCGCUUCUCAUAUCAAUAAUAUUAUUUUUUUGUAACCUAGCAGCUCUCAGUGAUAUUGUUACAUCUCUGAGAGAGUGUUCACAUUCACUGUAUCAGUUUUUAUAUAUCAAUAAAAGAUGUAGUUUUAUUUUAUACACUGUGUUUUUCGAAUUGAUUAUAUUCUACCAUAUCAACCCCCCCUUCUACAGUGGUUCCAGGCAUAACAAUUGGUAUUAGAGUCAAUCUGUUACAUACAAACAGUUUAAGAUCCAAAAACUAUAUAAUCAUUAUAGAGAAACACAAACUCCAACAACCAGUAGAUAUGAAUCAAUUAGGGUUCCAAUACUCAAGGCAUUUGAGUAUCCAACUUGGAAGGUUAAGAUGGCUAUGUUUAUGGAGGCUACGGAUCCAGAAUACCUUGAACAAGCCUAUUAAGCUCUCUGUUGCAGUUGGUGAUGAGUAGUAGACAAUGAUCCCAAAGGAGAAAAAAAUUUACACCCCUGAGGAUAUCUCCUCUAUUAGCAAGGAUGCCAAGGUAAGACAUUUAUUACAUAGUGCUCUUGACAAUGUUAUGUCUAACAGAGUCAUUUGAUGCAAAAAUGCAAAGGAAAUCUAGGAUGCUUUGGAAGUCAGAUGUCGUGGAACCAAAGCCAUCAAGAAAAAUAAGAAAACCAUACUCACACAUGAGUAUGAGCCCUUUGACUCAAAGCUUGAUGAUUCUCUAACAAAUCUGUAUGACAGAUUUCUGAAAUUGCUAAAUGAUUUGUCAUUAGUUGAUAAGGAGUACGAUCUUGAAGACUCCAAUCUGAAACCCUGUUGGCAUUCCCCGAGAAAUGGGAUUUGAAAGCUACUACUAUCAGAGACAACUGUAAAGCAUAAUGUAACAUAAUGUAAUAGCCAUAACUCAACACUACAAAAGAAUAGGAAACAAUACGUAAGUAUGAUACAUGAAUCAACAUGUUGGAGAUCCGAUACCAAUAGACAGAGACAAUCAAGAUAUCAGAUACGAACAUUCGUCCACUGAAAGAAGUUCAUUAAUAUGUUCAAACUUCAGUGAAGAAUAAAGUUCAAGUAGUUUCUUCUAUCAAAGAUUACCUGACGAUCAAGUUUCAAGAACUAGAAUAUUCCAGUAUAUCUAUUAAGAUUAUUCGUAAUCAACUUUACUAAAGCAACAUCAAACCCGGAUUGACUGGUCAAGUAUUUCAUCAAGUAAAAAAUACUUCAGUAUUAGUCAUUCGUGAACCAGACCAGUGCACAGGAUGUAAGUACGUACGAAGUUGUUCAAUGCAAUCAAUUAAUUAAUAAUAGAUCAAGUCACCAUUGAGCUGUUCUCGGGUCAAAGAGAAGUCAAACACUUUUGAUUUACGUCAAAUCGAAAAGCGGCGCCAAAGCUACAAAUUCAAAUUAUUUAUACAUAUAUAUAUAUAAUGUUCUUUGGCGCCACAUAAAUUUAAUUAAUUCAAGAAUUAACCAAGUAACAGAGUAUAUAUAUAUAUAUAUAUAUAUAUAUAGUCUUCAAACUGGCGCCACUUGAAGGAGGAAUGCAAAAUUGGCUAAGACAGAAAGUCAAGUAGUGCCACACUAGUAUACAUAGUGUGCCUAGCGUCACUUGAAGUCAGAGUCUGGGUCAAAGGAUUGACAAUGGUGCAUACAUAGGAGAAACUGGCGCCACUAGAAGUUGAGUUGAAUAUUUUCUAAGUAAAGAAGUGGAGUGGCGCCACUAACUCCAUGUGAAGCGCCACUUGGGGUCAGCUCCUGGUCAGAGGAGUGAUAAGGGUGCACACAGAGUCCUUCCAGGCGCCACUUGAUUUUACGGAGAAUAUUUCUAAGGCAAGUCACUCAUGGUGCAUAUAAUGAAGGAAUCUGGCGCCACUUGAUGUUAUAUAUAUUGACUAGCGCUACUUUCAUUGAAUUAACUAGCCCUGGUUAAUUGCUAGGGAACCGGGAUCACUUGGAAUGCUAACCACCCUUAGUUAAAGCUAUAGAACCAGGAUCACUACUCAAAAUUGGGAUAACUCAGCUAACCAUGGUUAGAUGUUGAAGCCUAUUAAUAGAGCCUUGUGUUUCAUUUGAAAACAACUACACACUUUGUAAAGUGCACACACUAUAAACAUACUCAGGAGCGAGGAUAGAAUAUCUGUUAUCACUAGAGUUUGUGUAAAGUUUGAUUUGUGAUCUCUGUAGCUGACCUUUAUGUUGGAAUUUGUGACACCCGGGGAUUAUUUCUAAUACAUGAAUAUUCCCCGAACUUGCUGGAGUUAUUUUACGAUUGACAUACGAACUAAACUGAAUUAUUCCUCAAUUGAUUUAAAAUGACAAAUUGGUAUAAGACAUAUUCAACCCCCCUUCUCCGUCUAAUUAGACCUAACAAUUGGUAUCAGAGCUUGCUGAUCGAUAUACAGAUCUGAAAUCUGUUACCAAAUCAAGAAGCUAGAUGAUCACUCAAUCAUAAUUUCAUCUGAUAACAAGUUAGGAAUCAAGGUACCUCCAUUCAACAAGGAUGGGUAUAAAAACUGGAAAAUGAAAAUAUUGUUAUACAUCCGAGCCACUAAUCCCUUGUACAUUGGGGUUCUAGAAAAUGGACCACAUCUGCCAAUGAAGAUUAUUCCUGAGUCUGUUGAAAAUGAAGUUCGCAUUCCACAUAAAUAUGUUCCUAAAUAUAAAAGAGAAUUCACAUAGACUUACAAGGGGUACAUUGCUCAUGACCAUAAUCUAUAACUCAUCAUUGUCGAAGCAAUGAACAAAACAAUGACCCACCUGAUACUUAGUCUUAAAUCAUCAAAGCAGAUGUGGGAUGUUGUUAAGGCAUUGAUGGAGGGAUCCAAAGAAGUUAGGGAAAACAUAUACGUUCUGUUGAUUGCCAGAUAUGAAGCAUUCAAGUGAAGCGCCACUUGGGGUCAGCUCCUGGUCAGAGGAGUGAUAAGGGUGCACACAGAGUCCUUCCAGGCGCCACUUGAUUUUACGGAGAAUAUUUCUAAGGCAAGUCACUCAUGGUGCAUAUAAUGAAGGAAUCUGGCGCCACUUGAUGUUAUAUAUAUUGACUAGCGCUACUUUCAUUGAAUUAACUAGCCCUGGUUAAUUGCUAGGGAACCGGGAUCACUUGGAAUGCUAACCACCCUUAGUUAAAGCUAUAGAACCAGGAUCACUACUCAAAAUUGGGAUAACUCAGCUAACCAUGGUUAGAUGUUGAAGCCUAUUAAUAGAGCCUUGUGUUUCAUUUGAAAACAACUACACACUUUGUAAAGUGCACACACUAUAAACAUACUCAGGAGCGAGGAUAGAAUAUCUGUUAUCACUAGAGUUUGUGUAAAGUUUGAUUUGUGAUCUCUGUAGCUGACCUUUAUGUUGGAAUUUGUGACACCCGGGGAUUAUUUCUAAUACAUGAAUAUUCCCCGAACUUGCUGGAGUUAUUUUACGAUUGACAUACGAACUAAACUGAAUUAUUCCUCAAUUGAUUUAAAAUGACAAAUUGGUAUAAGACAUAUUCAACCCCCCUUCUCCGUCUAAUUAGACCUAACAAUUGGUAUCAGAGCUUGCUGAUCGAUAUACAGAUCUGAAAUCUGUUACCAAAUCAAGAAGCUAGAUGAUCACUCAAUCAUAAUUUCAUCUGAUAACAAGUUAGGAAUCAAGGUACCUCCAUUCAACAAGGAUGGGUAUAAAAACUGGAAAAUGAAAAUAUUGUUAUACAUCCGAGCCACUAAUCCCUUGUACAUUGGGGUUCUAGAAAAUGGACCACAUCUGCCAAUGAAGAUUAUUCCUGAGUCUGUUGAAAAUGAAGUUCGCAUUCCACAUAAAUAUGUUCCUAAAUAUAAAAGAGAAUUCACAUAGACUUACAAGGGGUACAUUGCUCAUGACCAUAAUCUAUAACUCAUCAUUGUCGAAGCAAUGAACAAAACAAUGACCCACCUGAUACUUAGUCUUAAAUCAUCAAAGCAGAUGUGGGAUGUUGUUAAGGCAUUGAUGGAGGGAUCCAAAGAAGUUAGGGAAAACAUAUACGUUCUGUUGAUUGCCAGAUAUGAAGCAUUCAAGGCAAUACCUAGAGAGAACAUUUCUCAAAUCUACGAGAGGUUCAUGUUGUUAUUAAAUGAACUCACUCUGCAUGGAAAGGCAUAUCCACAAAAAGAGAUUGACAGAAAGUUCUCAUUUGUGAUGCCACCCCAUCUGGUUGUAAAGACUGAGACUAUCCGGGAAAGAAGCGACUUCAUAACCAUGACUCUGGAGAGGUUGUUUGGAAAGCUGGAGACGUUUGAGAUGGAGCUCGAAUAGAGGAACAUUAUAUACGAUGGAAGAUCAUCUGAAGCCAAAAGUAUGGCUCUACAAAAGACUACUGCACUUCGGCUCUACAAAAGACUAUUGCACUAGUGAUUUUCUCAAUUAUGAAAAAUAAAAAUUGUAGAUUUUACUGUAUAAACAGUGAUUAAUGCAUUAUAAACUAGUGAUUUAUGUAGUUGUAAAUAGCGAUUUUAUAACAUGGUUUUAGUUUGUAGUUAAAAUUUGGUUUGUGUAUGAUCACUAGUCUAUAUAUAUGUGUUUGUAUGAGAGAGAGAGAGAUAGUGAUCAAAUACAAACCAUUCCUUAAAUAUAACUAAAAACGAGUGCAGUUUAGUGAUAUUCACUUUAGAAAAUAGUGAUUCAUAUAACUUAAAUUAGUGAAAACCUCCAAAAUUUAGUGAAAACUUUCAAAUAUGUCCUUGUUGUUGGUGGUGGAGAUAAUGAAGGUGGAAAUGGAAGUGGUAGACAUGAAGGUGGAAAGAUAUGGAAGAGGUGGGGAUGAAGAUGUCUCGCUUUGGACAUAGUGGCCAACGGGAGGCACAAUUCGUAGAUUCGGCGGGGGCGGAGGUUGUGAUGAUAGAGAUGGCGGUGACGAUUGUGGUGGAGGUAUGGCAUAUGGGUGUAUGGCAGAAGUGGAGUUUAAAAUGACGAGGGUAUGAUAGAGGUGAAGUUGGAGGCAAGGGAGAAAUGUUUUUUUUUUNNNNGGGGGGGGGGGGGGGGGUUGGCGAAAAUUUUAGUGAUUUUUUCUUUAGGAUUUAGUGAUUUCAAUUAGAUUUUUAAUUUUUAGAUUAAUGAAGUUUGUAGUUAAUAAGACUCUAUAUAGAUCCAUUUAUAUCUAUAAUAUCUGGCUUGGUUACCAAACUAAUUUAUUAAUUAUUGAAAUGCGAAAUUAAGCUCCUUCACAAAAAUGUCAAAAUUUACAAGCCCAUGAAGCCAUAAUAUGCAAAGAAAAGCUCUCACUAUUGGGCUUGUAUAUCCAUAGUCUACGUGACAUCUUCCCCAUAUAAUCUCCCUCUCUCUCACUCUCCCCACAUUCGGAGCAGCAGGCCAGCAGCCACUGCUAGUUUCUUACAUUUUCAUUAAAAUCAACACACAGUCAAGGCUCUAUCAACCCCUCUCUUCAAGUAACAAUCUAUAUCUCAUCUAUCUUACUGUACCAUGUUUAUCCUGCUUUUUUUUUUUUAACCAUCAUUUCACUAUUUUUUGUAUGUUUCUUACUGAUUUUGAGAUCUGAGGAUGUACCUUUUGCGAUUAUCGUGUUUGUGUUCGAUUUUCUCAUCUGGGUCAUGCUCAUUUUGCUUUUUGAGUCGAUAAAUGUGCUUUAGUUUGUGUGUCUUUGUUUGAUGUUUUUUAGUGGUAAAUUAGUAUAUGCUUGUUAUCGAAUGCUAGAUUAGUGUAAUUAUUGGGGAUUUGUUGUUGGGGUUUUGUAAAUUGAGUGGAAUUACUGAUUUAACACAAUGUACAACUCUCUUUGUUGCUUUCGGGCUUUUGGAGGCAUUUUUUCCUUUUUUUUAAUUGAUGAUCGUUAUGUGUUGUGCUAGCAUUGGAAUAUUAUUUAGUGUUUUCCUGAUCCGCAAACAAUUGUGAUAUCUAUAUGCGACUUCAUUAGAUAGAUAUGUAGCAUUAGAUAGAUAUGUAUCUCUCUUUUGAUUUAUAUGUGUUUAAAUAAUGCUAUUGCAUUACUUGCGCUAAAUGAAGUAGCUUACAUUUAAACUUUUAAGUUAUUUGAAUGGGCUUAGUGUAGUUUCUUAUGCCAUUUUGAGUUGCUCUUUAUUUUCUUUCCUGUAUUGGUUUAUGCUGUUUCUAUCCUUUUUUUGGCUAACACCGACUAUUGAGACUUAUUUGAACAAUUAACCUUAUACAUCUUAUUAAGAUACUCUAGGCAUUAUAUCCAUAUUGUAGUAGGGCCUAAAGUCAAAUUGGAAUCUGAUAAUCCUGACACCAAAGAGAUGGUUUCAAAGUAAUAUUGUAGUAUGUGUUAUGAAUAGUCUUUCACUAUCUAUUUUUUACACCCUGUUAUGUGAACUGUGAGUCUGAAUCUUGAUUUGUUACAAUCUGCUACUCCCUGUGAUUUGGAAGUGCCAAUUCCUUUUUAGUAGUUUCUUGAUCUGCAAAUGAGUAUGUUAUUCAUAUUUAUAGACAUAAAAUUAAAAUUCAUUGCACACUUGUGACUUGCCCAAAUGAAGUAGAAGAUAUCUGUGCGUGCUUGAUAUUAAUGUUUUUUCUUUUGCCAAAGUCCUAAUGCAAGGCUCCAUCGUGUUUUUGCCAUUUGGUUACUGUGUGUUGUUUAUAUUUUCUCUUGCCAGUACUGGGUCUUCCUUAGUUCCUUUCAUGAUCAACCAAAUAUAUAUUAUUGAAAUACUUAAUACGUAUAUCUAGUCUCAAACUGAUUUGGAUGUGCUAUAUAAGUAUUUGAAUUUUGAUCUUUUACACUCUAACAUUUAUUCCUUGUAUGCUAUUAAACCUUAUUAAAAACGUUACUUGUCAUCUUGCAAGGUGUAAUAUAGCAUUUUAAAUUUUUAAUCCUUUUUAUGUGUGCAUGGUAACAGGAAAAUGUGGGAAUGGCAUGAUGACGAGUUCGUUCUCGAUGAAGUAACCAAUCUAGGUGAGUCUUUUUUUUCCCACCAACUACUGGAGCUAUCUAAGUUAAUGCUAAUUGCUGACAAUUAUUUUUUCUUUUUGAUUGGGUAACUAGAUGUACCUCAGAGCCUAUGGAAUGAUUUAGUCCCGAAUGAGGAAAAUCUAUCCUGUGUGUUUGAUGAAAUAACUCCAGUAAAAGCCUGUGGAGAUGUGGAUUGCCCCAAUACAAACAAUGGUAGGUUCUUUUCAAACUUAUAUUAAAGUAUACCAAGGAACAAACCAGACGCAUUAGUGCUUAUACUUUUGAAUCAUACAUGCAAUUUGCAGGGGAAAUGUCUGAGUCCAGGAAAGAAACUGCAGAUAAUACACAGGACAGGGAAAAGUGCAAGUCCAAUUCUUCACAUGUAAAGAGGCGCCGGAUGUUACAAUUUGACUCUGAGGCUAUACCUAUUCUUGACUGCAACGAAGACAUGCCCCCGGCAUUCUUAAAAGAAAAGGUAUGUCUCACUGUACAUAUAUAUAUUUUUGGCAUAUAAUCCUGAUAAAUAAGUCAUAUUCAACUUAUGACUUUUUCAUAGAUUAACUGUAUUGUAGAAUGUUGAUUAAGUGGGUAUUAUGUUGAAACUUGUUUGGUUCUGUCUUGUAAUGAACAUGAUGAGGUUUACCUGUAGCCGGCAGGGAUGGCUUUACAGUUUGGAUUCUAAACAAAACAACUUUAAUGACAUUGGCUUAAAUGGGUAGUCAGUAACUUUUACUAUACUAGUUAGAAGAUUAUUAUGCAACUGUAUCCUAUGUUACCCGGACUCUCCAUUUUUGUGCCUAUACCCGUGUCCACCGGACAUGACAUGGGUGUGGGUAUGGGAUCUGUGUCAGAUCUUUCUUAUUUCAACCGGACACCUAACCAUGUAACAUCCCAGGUCAAAAUGAAAACUUAGGUCUUGUUUCAACUUGUUUACAUAGAUCAAGAUCCAUGAAUGACUUGUUUCUAUGUUGUUCUUUUAAUUUUAUGCUUCAAUUUUUAGCGUAUGUGAUUUAUGUGCAGUAGACACUAUUUUAAUGAAUGUACCAUAAAUCAGGGUAUAUAAAGUUUGACUUGCGUGGAGCUUAAGUGCCAAGUCCCCGUACCCGAGUCUAAUUCCGGAUCCACGUCCACGAAUCCUAAUUAUCCUAAAACUACGAAUCUGACUCUUGGAUCUGUACCCGUGUCCAAUACCCAUACCCGUGUCCGGGUAACUUAG